AGAUGACCUAUAUUUUUUGAAGGGUGAGUGAGAACACGGGGGGAGAUAAACUACCAGGUUCCAUUCUGAUGAAACAGUUGAACCUGAAAAAUGUGUUCUCACUCCAUUGGUUUAAUACCUAGUCUGAGGUAAAAGGAAAGACAAAGAAAAGGAAG
This is a long non-coding RNA of Thalassophryne amazonica, 155 nucleotides long. RefSeq lists it as uncharacterized. The transcript has 3 exons. The record is from RefSeq and is a predicted model, not a curated record. NCBI's taxonomy places the organism in Eukaryota, Metazoa, Chordata, Actinopteri, Batrachoidiformes, Batrachoididae.